This 1020-nucleotide long non-coding RNA is filed under the name Lepisosteus oculatus (spotted gar). RNAcentral's name for it is "lncRNA (ENSLOCG00000022758.1)". The record is from RNAcentral. Lineage: Eukaryota; Metazoa; Chordata; Actinopteri; Semionotiformes; Lepisosteidae.
UUGGAGCCAGAUUCUUGUUGGUGGGUUGAUGUUGAAGAGCCUCCUUCUUAUUGCGUAGAAAGCCCUGAGUGCCUUCUCCCUCAGUGCCUCUCUCCCUCUCUCUCUCUCCCUGCAGCUCCUGUGUCAGGUGCUGGAACAGGGUGGAGAUGUCUUCCGCCUGCAGCACCUGCAGGUAAACCCCCUCCUCUCCAAUCUCUCACGUCGAGGUGUCCAAGCGUCCGCGUCUGACUGGGGCUCUCCGGGCGGACAUGUUGCGUGAGUCUCCCUGAGACCUCUCUCCAUCUCCGAUCCAGGGCUUCGACUUCCUGGUGCGAGACUGGACCCAGUCUGCGGAGCUGGGCGAGAAUGGGGGAGCCCAGCACCUGGACAAGAUCGUCCAGGUAAGAGGACAGGAGCCAGCGCCCCCUACAGGCUGGGGUACAGAUACUGCAGACUGGUCAGAGCGCCCCUACAGGCUGGGGUACAGAUACUCCAGACUGGUCAGAGCACCCCUACAGGCUGGGGUACAGCCCCCUACAGGUGUCAUGUCCUCCUGUGUUUCAGCGCCUGCAGGACUCCGGCACGUACGAACAGGCUCUCAGGAUCCUGAGGGAGAGGAGGCCGAGCUGCUUCCUGCUGCCCUUCCCUGGGAACAGGCUGGUCUGGAGCCAACGAGGGUCGGUCCAAGACAUGGAUGAGGAGUUUCAGGUCCACCUGAAGGACUAUAUCAACCACACCGCCCAGGUCCUGGAGAGAAGGCAGCCCACCGAGACUGGAGCGACACUGGCAGGGAAGUUCAAGGAAGCAGCUCGUGUCAUUCUUCAAGGCAAAUACAGCAUUUCCUCCCCUGCAGAGGUGAGUCUCCCUGAAGCACAGGAAAAACUACUCAACUGUCUGUCAGUGCGGGACCCUCCCACCAGACUGAAGAGACUCAGUUCCCUCAGCCUGUCCGUGUGGGACACUCCCUUCAGACUGAAGAGACUCAGUUCCCUCAGCCUGUCAGUGCGGGAGAUUCCCUUCAGACUGAAGAGACUCAGUUCC